RNAcentral lists this ribosomal RNA (258 nucleotides) under uncultured bacterium. RNAcentral's name for it is "partial 16S ribosomal RNA". It matches the Rfam family "Bacterial small subunit ribosomal RNA", at positions 526 to 779 of the family's 1533-position model. The record is from RNAcentral.
CGGAGGGGCGUAGCGUUGUUCGGAAUUACUGGGCGUAAAGUGCACGUAGGCGGCUUUGCAAGUUAGAGGUGAAAGCCCCAGGGCGUCAACCCCUGGAACUGCCUUUUAAGACUGCGAGGCUUGAUCACGGGAGAGGUGAGUGGAAUUCCGAGUGUAGAGGUGAAAUUCGUAGAUAUUCGGAAGAACACCAGUGGCGAAGGCGGCUCACUGGACCGUUGAUGACGCUGAGGUGCGAAAGCGUGGGGAGCAAACAGGAUU